RNAcentral lists this long non-coding RNA (423 nucleotides) under Capsella rubella. RNAcentral describes it as "long non-coding RNA (CRUB_LNC004824)". Lineage: Eukaryota; Viridiplantae; Streptophyta; Magnoliopsida; Brassicales; Brassicaceae. The record is from RNAcentral.
GGGAAGUAAUUAUCAGAGAAAAUAAUCUCAGAUUCGUCGAACUCUUCCGACAUAAUUUUUCAAGAAACUCAGUUGUGUUCAAUUUUAAAAAAAUGGGUUUUAGAAAUAAAGAAAAGUAAUUUAAGGGUUUAAGAAUGUUACAAACAAAAAAAUUUAAGGGUUUAAGAAGAAUUAAGAGAGUUAAUAGAAGAAUAAUAGGAAGAAGAGAGAACAGUACGAAGAAGAAGAAGAAGAAGAGAGGAGAGGGGUUUAUAUAAGAGAAGACAAGGAAACGUAGAGACUACUCUAACCUUGUGGUGAUAUGAUGAUGUCAUCAUAAUGGCGUUGAGUGCGGACCCCGCUUUGCUCUUUCCUAUAUAUAUUUUGUAUGUAUACGUUAGAUUCGUAUUCAUUAAUUACUUUUUUAUUUUCCUUUUUUUUUUU